Molecule: long non-coding RNA, 834 nt
Filed under: Rattus norvegicus (Norway rat)
Lineage: Eukaryota; Metazoa; Chordata; Mammalia; Rodentia; Muridae
Description: long non-coding RNA NONRATT007839
Source: RNAcentral
CUCUUUCUCCCUGGAGGACCUACCAGGUCACCCCCUCAAGGAUGACUCCUCUGCCACUUUGGGAUCCCAGCCACCAGGCUAAUACAGGACCCCAGCUGCUGGGGGCCAGCUGUGGGUCAGGGAUAUCUUUGUCUAACAGGACCCUGUGCCAUCCUUCUUGGCCUAUGUAUGAUGACUGGGGCAGGAUGCCCACUACCUCAGGACAUCCAGAAGAGAAGCAGGUGGCAUCUAGGGGCACAGGGCUCCCAGUGAGAAACUCUGAAGAAGUCUUUCUCUUGGACCCUCUGCUAUCCCCUGGGCAGCGUGUUCCCCUAUACCUGCCCAAGCCCCCUCAGCAGGUGAGAAUGAGCCUCCCUACAUUCUCUCUCCCUUUCUCCAUUCAGAGCCAGUGGGACAAACUUCCCUUCCCGUCUUCUCAGGCAAUGGGCUCACUAAAGCUGUUGCUCCCGCCUCCUAUCAUGUCCUCCUCUGUGCAGCCCUCCUCCUCCCAAGGCUGCCCCUUCUCCUCCCAGGCCCGCCCCCCCUCCUCCCAGGCCCGCCCCCCAACCUGGCUCAGCGAGGCGGAGAUGAUCGCCCUUGCUGGUCUGCUGCAGAUGAGCCAGGGAGAGCAGACCCCCGACUCCCAGGCAAGCUCCCUGCCUUCUGCCAGCUGCCCAGACCCUGCCUAUGUCUCUGAAGACCCUGGCCCCAAUGGUGGCCAGAGCUGUUCUGGAAGCACUGACCCACGACCCACACAGAACCCCGAUAACCACCGUCCAUAGUGUCCCCUCCCCUCCCUCCACAGGGGCUGUCUUCUCUCCUAAGCCGUUUUGUUGACAAUAAAUCAGAGUGUGC